RNAcentral lists this ribosomal RNA (489 nucleotides) under uncultured bacterium. RNAcentral describes it as "partial 16S ribosomal RNA". It matches the Rfam family "Bacterial small subunit ribosomal RNA", at positions 28 to 507 of the family's 1533-position model. The record is from RNAcentral.
GACGAACGCUGGCGGCGUGCUUAACACAUGCAAGUCGAACGGUGAAGGGAUCAGCUUGCUGGUUCUGGAUGAGUGGCGAACGGGUGAGUAACACGUGAGUAACCUGCCCCCUUCUUCUGGAUAACCGCAUGAAAGUGUGGCUAAUACGGGAUAUUCUGGGUCUGUCGCAUGAUGGGUCUGGGAAAGAUAUUGUUUCGGUGGGGGAUGGGCUCGCGGCCUAUCAGCUUGUUGGUGGGGUGAUGGCCUACCAAGGCGGUGACGGGUAGCCGGGCUGAGAGGGUGGACGGUCACACUGGGACUGAGACACGGCCCAGACUCCUACGGGAGGCAGCAGUGGGGAAUAUUGCACAAUGGGCGCAAGCCUGAUGCAGCGACGCCGCGUGAGGGAGGGAGGCCUUCGGGUUGUAAACCUCUUUCGCCAGUGAAGCAGGCCUGCUCCGUGUGGGUGGGUUGACGGUAGCUGGAGAAGAAGCGCCGGCUAACUACGUG